AGCAGCCGCGGUAAUUCCAGCUCCAAUAGCGUAUAUUAAAGUUGUUGCAGUUAAAAAGCUCGUAGUUGAAUUUCGGGGUUCUACCGUUGGUCGGGCUUUGUCUGUACUGGCGUGUAGAAUUUCUACCUUCUGGGGAACUAUCAUGUUAUUAAUUUAGCGUGGUAGGAAACCAGGACCUUUACCUUGAAAAAAUUAGAGUGUUCAAAGCAGGCUUAUGUCUGAAUACAUUAGCAUGGAAUAAUAAAAUAGGACGGUGGUCCUGUUUUGUUGGUUUCUGAAUCACCGUAAUGAUUAAUAGGGAUAGUUGGGGGCAUUAGUAUUCAAUUGUCAGAGGUGAAAUUCUUGGAUUUAU
This 352-nucleotide ribosomal RNA is filed under the name uncultured Racocetra. Its description in RNAcentral is "SSU rRNA". It matches the Rfam family "Eukaryotic small subunit ribosomal RNA", at positions 569 to 929 of the family's 1831-position model. The record is from RNAcentral. Lineage: Eukaryota; Fungi; Glomeromycota; Glomeromycetes; Diversisporales; Gigasporaceae.